AUUGAACGCUGGCGGCAGGCCUAGCACAUGCAAGUCGAGCGGAUGAAGGGAGCUUGCUCCUGGAUUCAGCGGCGGACGGGUGAGUAAUGCCUAGGAAUCUGCCUGGUAGUGGGGGAUAACGUCCGGAAACGGGCGCUAAUACCGCAUACGUCCUGAGGGAGAAAGUGGGGGAUCUUCGGACCUCACGCUAUCAGAUGAGCCUAGGUCGGAUUAGCUAGUUGGUGGGGUAGAGGCCUACCAAGGCGACGAUCCGUAACUGGUCUGAGAGGAUGAUCAGUCACACUGGAACUGAGACACGGUCCAGACUCCUACGGGAGGCAGCAGUGGGGAAUAUUGGACAAUGGGCGAAAGCCUGAUCCAGCCAUGCCGCGUGUGUGAAGAAGGUCUUCGGAUUGUAAAGCACUUUAAGUUGGGAGGAAGGGCAGUAAGUUAAUACCUUGCUGUUUUGACGUUACCAACAGAAUAAGCACCGGCUAACUUCGUG
RNAcentral lists this ribosomal RNA (484 nucleotides) under uncultured bacterium. RNAcentral describes it as "partial 16S ribosomal RNA". It matches the Rfam family "Bacterial small subunit ribosomal RNA", at positions 30 to 507 of the family's 1533-position model. The record is from RNAcentral.